RNAcentral lists this ribosomal RNA (431 nucleotides) under uncultured bacterium. Its description in RNAcentral is "bacterial SSU rRNA". It matches the Rfam family "Bacterial small subunit ribosomal RNA", at positions 343 to 791 of the family's 1533-position model. The record is from RNAcentral.
UGGAGGCAGCAGUGGGGAAUAUUGCACAAUGGGGGAAACCCUGAUGCAGCAACGCCGCGUGAGUGAAGAAGGCCUUCGGGUCGUAAAGCUCUGUCUUUAGGGACGAUAAUGACGGUACCUAAGGAGGAAGCCACGGCUAACUACGUGCCAGCAGCCGCGGUAAUACGUAGGUGGCGAGCGUUGUCCGGAAUUACUGGGCGUAAAGGGUGCGUAGGCGGUUUCUUAAGUCAGAUGUGAAAUUCCGGGGCUCAACUUCGGAACUGCAUUUGAAACUGGGGAGCUAGAGUGCAGGAGAGGAAAGCGGAAUUCCUAGUGUAGCGGUGAAAUGCGUAGAUAUUAGGAAGAACACCAGUGGCGAAGGCGGCUUUCUGGACUGUAACUGACGCUGAGGCACGAAAGCGUGGGGAGCAAACAGGAUUAGAUACCCCGGU